GGUUUGAUCAUGGCUCAGAUUGAACGCUGGCGGGAUGCUUUACACAUGCAAGUCGAACGGCAGCACGGACUUCGGUCUGGUGGCGAGUGGCGAACGGGUGAGGCACGUAUCGGAACGUGCCUAGUAGCGGGGGAUAAUCACGUGAAAGCGUAGCUAAUACCGCACAUUGCCCCUUCGGGGGAAAGCGGGGACCUUCGGGCCUCGCACUAUUAGAGCGGCCGAUAUCGGAUUAGCUGAAGGUGGUGGGUAACGGCUCUGCCGGCGAUGAUCCGUAGCUGGUUUGAGAGGACGACCAGCCACACGCCAGACCGGGAGAUAUGCCCAGACUCCUACGGAGGCAGUGGGGAAUUUUGGACAAUGGGGAAACCUCGAUCCAGCCAUCCUGCGUGUGCGAUGAAGGCCUUCGGAUUGUAAAGCACUUUUGGCAGGAAAGAAACGGCACGGAUAAUACCCCGUGCAACUGACGGUACCUGCAGAAUAAGCACCGGCUAACUACGUGCCAGCAGCCGCGGUAAUACGUAGGGUGGCGUUAACUGAAUUACUUGGCGUAAAGCGUGCGCAGGCGGUUCGGAAAGAAAGAUGUGAAAUCCCAGAGCUUAACUUUGGAACUGCAUUUUUAACUACCGAGCUAGAGUGUGUCAGAGGGAGGUGGAAUUCCGCGUGUAGCAGUGAAAUGCGUAGAUAUGCGGAGGAACACCGAUGGCGAAGGCAGCCUCUGGGAUAACACUGACGCUCAUGCACGAAAGCGUGGGGAGCAAACAGGAUUAGAUACCCUGGUAGUCCACGCCCUAAACGAUGUCAACUAGCUGUUGGGGCCUUCGGGCCCGGUAGCGCAGCGCCAACGCGUGAAGUUGAGACCGCCUGGGGAGUACGGUCGCAAGAUUAAAACUCAAAGGAAUUGACGGGGACCCGCACAAGCGGUGGAUGAUGUGGAUUAAUUCGAUGCAACGCGAAAACCUUACCUACUCCUUGACAUGUCUGGAACUUGGCAGAUUUGGGGAGUGCUCGCAAGAGAACCGGAACACAGGUGCUGCAUGGCUGUCGUCAGCUCGUGUCGUGAGACGUUGUGGUUGGUCCUUAAACGAGCGCAACCCGCUGGUUGCUACGAAAGGGACUCCCCACGAGACUGCCGGUGACAAACCGGAGGAAGGUGGGGAUGACGUCAAGUCCUCAUGGCCCUUAUGGGUAGGGCUUAGCCAUCGUCAUACAAUGGUCGGGACAGAGAGGGUCGCUAACCCGCGAGGGGGAGCUAAUCCCAGAAACCCGACGUCAGAAAGUCCGGAUCGCAGUCUGCACCGACUGCGUGAAGUCGGGAAUCGCUAGUAAUCGCGGAUCAGCAUGUCGCGGUGAAUACGUUCCCGGGUCUUGUACACACCGCCCGUCACACCAUGGGAGUGGGUUUUACCAGAAGCAGUUAGCCUAACCGUAUGAGGGCGAUUACCACGGUAGGAUUCAUGACCGGGGUGAAGUCGUAACAAGGUAG
RNAcentral lists this ribosomal RNA (1483 nucleotides) under uncultured Bordetella sp. Its description in RNAcentral is "partial 16S-23S ribosomal RNA intergenic spacer". It matches the Rfam family "Bacterial small subunit ribosomal RNA". The record is from RNAcentral. Lineage: Bacteria; Pseudomonadati; Pseudomonadota; Betaproteobacteria; Burkholderiales; Alcaligenaceae.